GGAAAAAAAAAACGACAUGAGAUGACAGCCCGAGAGCUUUGUGUUACGGAUGAUGCACGAAGCUGAUAGAUGUUUCGUAGCACGGGCUGGAAAUAAUAACCAAGCUGACGUUGUAGCUAAGCCUUCUGGGUAGUGUAGUUUCUUGGAUGAGUGCUAAAGCAGAAUAGCUGUAGAGCUGAAGUGUCUCGUAACCCGCCGGUCUUUUGUCGAGCGAGAGUAGGAGAAAAGUGAACGAAAGCGACUGGAUUUUUGUUAGUGUGUGUGAGAUAAAAGUGAGGCUGCUAGUAGUAUAAACCUGCAGCAGGAGGCUAAUCUCUGUUUCCGUCUACCUUAAGGAGACGAGGUCACCGAGAGACCGGGAUUCCGUUUGUGUCGAGCGGAAAUGUAAAGCCGGCAUGCUCAGCAAGAAAUCCCGUGAAUCGAUGCGAUCGUCCUUUCAAUGCAGAUACAAGGGCAACCUGAAUGUGCACUCUCACAGUAUACAUUCUCUUUACACUCUUUGGUGUAAGUAAGUCUGAGACGUUUUGAGAGUGCAGCCCAUCUGUGCUGAGCUGGCACCGAGGCUUGAGAAGUAGAAGCUGGGAUAGUGUAUACUACGAUAGCGUGUGUGAUAGUGUAGGUUUUAUUUUGAUUAUUUAUUUAUUUUUAACUGGCUGCCCUUCCUGCCCCUCCUCCACCUCCUCUUCCUCCGCCAGAUUGCUUGUGAAAGGUAGAGUAAACCUGUCAAGGUCUAAAUGUUCUGUCUCGCCAUGCUUUCUGUCUGAUGAUGGCUGCGGUGGCCAUUACAUUUCCCCAUUCACCGAGAGAGAAAGCGAGCAGGAAUGAUGAAAUGAGGCAGCUGUCACAAAAGAGAGAAAUGGCGAAAGUGAGCUGUCACCUUUCUCCCACACAGCAGUGCUACCAGAGAGGAAAAUGGCAGCUCUCGGUUAGAGGGAAACUCGCUGCCCAAUUUACCCAUCCAGUUUUAUUUUAGUGUAGGAUCAUAAAGCGGACUCAUUGUGCGGUGAUUCUGAUCUGAACAGAACGUGUGUGAGGAUUAGGAUUAGAUUAACAGUAGAGUGUGUGUGUGAGGAUUAGGAUUAGAUAAAUAAAGAGUGUUGUGUGAGUAUUAGGAUUAGAUUAACAGUAGUGUGUGUGUGAGGAUUAGGAUUAGAUUAACAGUAGAGUGUGUGUGAGGAUUAGGAUUAGAUUAACAGUAGAGUGUGUGAGGAUUAGGAUUAGAUUAACAGUAGAGUGUGUGAGAGGAUUAGGAUUAGAUUAACAGUAGAGUGUGUGUGAGGAUUAGGAUUAGAUUAACAGUAGAGUGUGUGAGGAUUAGGAUUAGAUUAACAGUGGAGUGUGUGAGUAUUAGGAUUAGAUUAACAGUAGAGUGUGUGAGGAUUAGGAUUAGAUUACCAGUAGAGUGUGUGAGGAUUAGAUUAACAGUCGAGUGUGUGUGAGGAUUAGGAUUAGAUUACCAGUAGAGUGUGUGAGGAUUAGAUUAACCAUCGAGUGUGUGAGGAUUAGAUCAACAGUCGAGUGUGUGCGUGUGUGUGAGGAUUAGGAUUAGAUAAACCGUGUGUUCCGUACACAGAGAGUGAGAGAAAGACUUCACAAUGUUGUACAGUAAAAAUACAGUAUUACUCCGUAAUCCUCACACCAGCACAUUCACUCUUCUAAAAGCAAUCCCGUCUCUCUUUUUUCUCAUGUCUCUAAUUCAUCCUUCCUUUUACUCUUAUAUUUCCCCCUCAGUUGAAUCCGUUCUUUGUGGAAUGUUAUUUCCUGCAGUAUUUUAUUAACCUGCUUAUUGAAAACGGUUGACGUGAGUAAUCCGGCCUCACUCCGCUUUAAUACACGGACCUGCUGUGCACGAUGCUACUUAUUUUACCUGUGCAUUAGUCUGUUUCAUCCAUCAUGAGCUCCACAACGAUGGCUGGAUCAGAUCCAAUUUCACAGGGGAAUUGAGUGGAACGAGUCAGAUUGCUAGCGUGCACCAUGACAGACAGCAAGAGCAUUUGGGCAGGAGUGAAGGGAUAUAUAGUAUACACUAUAUAAUACUAAAGCAAUACCGCUAUGUGUAUCCGCAUCCGUUUCGUGCUCCGAAUAUCCAUAUCUAGAUUAGGAUUUAAACCCGAAGUGGGCGUGGCCUAAACACGGUAUAUGGAACAUAACUUCGUUUUCACUAAUCGUGGUUUAAUUUACGCUUUCAACGUUUCCGUUUGCCAUCCUGGCACAGAUCUCACAUGCGGGCAGGGCUUAACACAUGAUUUCCUCUCAUUGGCUAGUGAGAUUUGGAUCGACAGCUCCCUGUCCAGGAAGUAGAGAUUUGAGCGGUGUGCAUUCUGGAGGCGUUUCUCUGUAUACUGUAGUUACA
Ictalurus punctatus (channel catfish) is the source of this 2353-nucleotide long non-coding RNA. The record is from Ensembl. Lineage: Eukaryota; Metazoa; Chordata; Actinopteri; Siluriformes; Ictaluridae.